RNAcentral lists this ribosomal RNA (551 nucleotides) under Hartmannella sp. LC-2012 clone CF3-166. RNAcentral's name for it is "bacterial SSU rRNA". It matches the Rfam family "Eukaryotic small subunit ribosomal RNA", at positions 619 to 1169 of the family's 1831-position model. Lineage: Eukaryota; Tubulinea; Elardia; Euamoebida; Hartmannellidae. The record is from RNAcentral.
UUAAAAAGCUCGUAGUUGGACCUUGGGGUUGAGUACAUCGGUUCUUCAUAGCUUCGGCUUUGAAGGUCAAAAUCGAGUAAUUCUUCCUCUAUUCUCGGAACGUUCAGCCAGAAAUGGUGUUUCGUAGGAUUUACUUUGAAUAAAUUAGGGUGUUUAAAGCAGGCAUAAAAGCCUUGAAUACAUUAGCAUGGGAUAAUAAAAGAUGACCUUUGGUCUAAACUUUAUUGGUUUCUAAGGCCUAGGUAAUGAUUGAUAGGGAUAGUUGAGGUCGCUCGUAUUCAGUGGUCAGAGGUGAAAUUCUAAGACCCACUGAGGACGAACUAAUGCGAAGGCAUUCGACAAGGAUGUUUUCAUUAAUCAAGAACGAAAGUUGUGGGAUCGAAGAUGAUUAGAUACCGUCGUAGUCACAACCGUAAACUAUGUUGACUCAGGAUUUGAGGAUGUUACAUGGAUGACUCUUCAAGCACUGUGUGCGAAAGCAUAAGUAUUCGAACUCCGGGGGGAGUAUGGUCGCAAGGCUGAAACUUAAAGGAAUUGACGGAAGGGCACCA